AUCCAGUUGAUGAGUCCCAAAUAGGACGAAACAAGCGUCAAACUGGAU
This is a non-coding RNA of Schistosoma mansoni, 48 nucleotides long. Lineage: Eukaryota; Metazoa; Platyhelminthes; Trematoda; Strigeidida; Schistosomatidae. The record is from Rfam.